AGCAGUGGGGAAUAUUGCACAAUGGGGGAAACCCUGAUGCAGCAACGCCGCGUGAGCGAAGAAGGCCUUCGGGUUGUAAAGCUCUGUCUUUGCUGACGAUAAUGACGGUAAGCAAGGAGGAAGCCACGGCUAACUACGUGCCAGCAGCCGCGGUAAUACGUAGGUGGCGAGCGUUGUCCGGAAUUACUGGGCGUAAAGGGUGCGUAGGCGGCAAUUUAAGUGGGAUGUGAAAUCCCCGGGCUUAACUCGGGAGGUGCAUUCCAAACUGGGUUGCUAGAGUGCAGGAGAGGAAAGUGGAAUUUCCAGUGUAGCGGUGAAAUGCGUAGAUAUUGGGAGGAACACCAGUGGCGAAGGCGACUUUCUGGACUGUAACUGACGCUGAGGCACGAAAGCGUGGGUAGCAAACAGGAUUAGAUACCCUGGUAGUCCACGCCAUAAACGAUGGAUACUAGGUGUAGGGGGCGAAGCCCUCUGUGCCGCAGUU
RNAcentral lists this ribosomal RNA (484 nucleotides) under uncultured Caloramator sp. Its description in RNAcentral is "bacterial SSU rRNA". It matches the Rfam family "Bacterial small subunit ribosomal RNA", at positions 350 to 853 of the family's 1533-position model. The record is from RNAcentral. Lineage: Bacteria; Bacillati; Bacillota; Clostridia; Eubacteriales; Clostridiaceae.